AUGGCACGUCCAAAACCAGCGCACCACGCCCCAUAUUCCCUCACCAACCUUCACCUCUCCACAUCCAUGGCCGCUCGUCUCUGCCUCUGCAUGGCGGCGCUCCUCGUCUCGCUGAUGCCAUGUGGCGCGGCGCAGCCGGCGUCGUCCAACGCCACGGACCUGGCCGCGCUGCUCGCCUUCAAAGCACAGGUGGAGGACCCUCUCGGCAUCCUCGCCGGCAACUGGACCGCGGCGGCGUCCCCUUGCUCCUGGGUCGGGGUCUCAUGCGACCGCCGCGGGCAGCGCGUCACCGGCCUAGAGCUCGACGGCGUGCCGCUCCAUGGCAGCAUCGCCCCGCAGCUUGGCAACCUCUCCUUCCUCUCCAGCCUCGUGCUCAGCAACACGAGCCUCGCCGGCCCCGUGCCCAGCGAGCUUGGCGGCCUGCCCCGGCUCCAAAACCUCGUCCUCUCGUACAACAGUUUGUCAGGUGCCAUCCCCUCCACCCUUGGCAACCUCACAGGGCUCCAGUCUCUUUACCUCGACAGCAACAACUUCUUCGGCGCAAUCCCAUACGAGUUUCAAAACCUGAGGAAACUUCAGUCGCUGAGACUGUCAAACAAUGACUUGAGCGGGCCGAUACCGCAUGGCCUGUUCAACAACACGCCCGAUCUGCGCGUUGUGCGUCUCGGGUCGAACCGGCUGACGGGAGCGAUUCCUGACAGCAUCGGCUCGUUGUCGAAGCUCGAGUGGCUGGUCCUGGAAGGCAAUCUUCUCUCAGGCCCCAUGCCUCCUGCCAUCUUCAACAUGUCCCAGCUGCAGGUCAUAGCCAUCACAAGGAACAAUCUCUCAGGUCCAAUCCCUGGAAAUGAGAGCUUCUACCUCCCCAUGUUGGAAGUGUUGUCCCUCAAUGAAAACCAGUUUGAGGGACCUAUCCCGCCAGGUCUUUCGGCGUGUCGGAACCUUGACACGCUCUCCCUCGCCGUGAAUGAUUUCACCGGUCCCGUGCCAUCAUGGUUGGCGACAAUGCCGAACCUCACAAGAAUUUACUUGUCGACAAAUGGCCUCACUGGAAAGAUCCCUGUGGAACUGAGCAACCACACUGAGCUUCUCCGUUUGGACCUUAGCCAGAACAAACUUGAGGGGGGAAUCCCACAAGAGUUUGGACGGUUGACAAACCUCAGGUUUAUGAGCUUUGCCAACAACCGAAUAACAGGUCCCAUUCCUGAUUCCAUAGGCAAUCUUUCUAACCUCACAACCAUAGAUUUCUAUGGAAAUGGUUUGACUGGAUCGGUGCCAAUUUCAUUUGGGAACUUGCUGAACCUUCGUCGCAUCUGGCUUGAUGGGAACCAGCUCAGCGGGAACCUCGACUUCCUGUCUGCACUCUCAAAUUGCAGGAGCCUGAAUACAAUCAGCAUGGCAAACAACACAUUCACAGGGAGUCUGCCAGCCUACAUUGGAAACCUUAGCACAGUCCUCGAGACUUUUAUAGCAGAUAACAACAGGAUCACGGGAAGCAUCCCAGGUACAUUUGCCAAUCUUACCAACUUAAUGACUCUGUCGCUCAGUGGAAACCAGCUGAAUGGGACAAUCCCCACACCAAUCGCUGCAAUGAGCAAUCUCCAAGAACUCAACCUUGCCAACAAUAGCUUGUCCGGCACCAUCCCAGCAGAAAUCAGUGGGUUAACAAGCCUGGCUAAGUUGCAUCUUGACAGCAAUAGACUCGUUGGUCCCAUUCCAAGUAGCAUCAGUAACCUAAGCCAGAUACAGAUUAUGACACUAUCCCGCAACUCGUUAUCUUCAACCAUACCAACAAGUCUAUGGCGCCAACGAAAACUAAUUGAGCUUGAUUUGUCACAGAACUCUUUCAGUGGUUCCCUGCCGGAAGAUGUAGGGAAACUGACUGCAAUUACCGAGAUGGACCUGUCGAGUAACCAGCUAUCAGGUGAUAUCCCAACUUCAUUUGGUGCACUGCAGAUGAUGAUCAAUCUGAAUCUGUCCAGAAACUUAUUAGAAGGAUCAAUACCAGACUCACUUGGAAAGUUAUUAAGUAUUGAGGAGUUAGACUUCUCCUCCAAUGCACUUUCUGGUGCCAUUCCGAAGUCAUUGGCCAACCUCACUUAUCUUGCCAACCUGAACCUCUCUUUCAACAAGCUAGAUGGACAGAUACCAGAAGGAGGUGUGUUCUCCAACAUCACUCUCGAAUCAUUGAUGGGAAACAGUGCACUCUGCGGCCUUCCAAGGGAAGGAAUAUCGCCAUGCCAGAACAACUCACACUCAAGGUCAAAACAACUACUGCUGAAAGUCAUAUUACCUGCAGUAGUGACAUUAUUUGUUUUAUCAGCUUGCGUGUACAUGUUGGUUAGAAGAAAGCUGAAUAAGCAAGGAAAGAUGUCACUGCCCUCAAACACAGACUUGACGAACUACCAGUUGAUCUCAUACCAUGAACUUGUCCGUGCAACAAGCAACUUCAGUGAUGAUAACCUGCUAGGGGCUGGAGGCUUUGGUAAAGUCUUCAAAGGUCAGCUAGAUGAUGAGUCUGUCAUUGCAAUAAAGGUUCUCAAUAUGCAAGACGAAGUAGCUUCAAAGAGCUUUGACACAGAGUGUCGUGCAUUACGAAUGGCCCGGCACCGGAACCUGGUCAGGAUAAUUAGCACUUGCUCUAAUCUUGACUUCAAAGCAUUGGUUCUUGAGUAUAUGCCUAAUGGCAGCUUAGAUGAUUGGUUGCAUUCAAGCGAACGGAGGCACAUUAGUUUUCUGCAAAGGCUUGGAAUCAUGCUGGAUGUUGCAAUGGCAAUGGAGUAUCUGCACCACCGGCACUUCGAAGUUGUCCUGCAUUUUGAUUUAAAGCCGAGCAACAUUUUGCUUGACAUGGACAUGACUGCACAUGUUGCCGAUUUUGGGAUUUCCAAGCUGCUGGUUGGAGACGACAACUCUAUCGUGUUAACGAGCAUGCCCGGCACUGUAGGAUACAUGGCACCAGAGUUCGGAUCAAGCGGGAAAGCAUCACGCUUCAGUGAUGUUUACAGCUUUGGGAUUGUUCUCCUUGAAGUCUUCACGAGGAAAAAGCCGACUGAUCCAAUGUUUGCUGGUGAGCUGAGCUUAAGGCAGUGGGUUAACCAAGCAUUCCAAUAUGAACUCUCCAGUGUCACUGACCGUGGCCUGCUGGAAGAUGUACCAAAGCACGGUAUGGAUAAGAUAAGCAAUCCCUCCGAGGAUUCCUCCGCCAUCUUGAAUGCUUGCCUGGCGUCCAUCAUCGAGUUGGGGUUAGUUUGCUCAAGGACUGCACCUGAUGAGAGACUGCCAAUGGAUGAUGUGGUUGUCAAAUUGAACAAGAUCAAGGCAAAUUACUGUGCUCAGAUAACGAAGUAA
RNAcentral lists this ribosomal RNA (3348 nucleotides) under Triticum aestivum (bread wheat). RNAcentral describes it as "partial small subunit ribosomal RNA". The record is from RNAcentral. Lineage: Eukaryota; Viridiplantae; Streptophyta; Magnoliopsida; Poales; Poaceae.